GAGUUCCGCCACACUCUGUCCAUGCGUGGAGUUUUCUUGCAAAUGCUUUUGAGCAGAAAUUCCUUCAGGAUGAAACGGCUCGCCAGUCAGCCCCGAAAAUUACCCAGGAGUCGAAUAUUAAACGCCAAAAGAUGAUUAUCGUCAGAAGGUACACACUGAGGCAAUUAGAGAAUGCUCCCAAGAAUAAACAAUCAUGCAAUAUGGAUCAAAAUCGAG
This is a long non-coding RNA of Cloeon dipterum, 216 nucleotides long. RefSeq lists it as uncharacterized. Lineage: Eukaryota; Metazoa; Arthropoda; Insecta; Ephemeroptera; Baetidae. The record is from RefSeq and is a predicted model, not a curated record. The transcript is spliced from 3 exons.